RNAcentral lists this ribosomal RNA (1050 nucleotides) under Levilactobacillus brevis. RNAcentral's name for it is "bacterial SSU rRNA". It matches the Rfam family "Bacterial small subunit ribosomal RNA", at positions 434 to 1475 of the family's 1533-position model. Lineage: Bacteria; Bacillati; Bacillota; Bacilli; Lactobacillales; Lactobacillaceae. The record is from RNAcentral.
GUUGUUAAAGAAGAACCCCUUUGGAGAGUAACUGUUCAAGGGUUGACGGUAUUUAACCAGAAAGCCACGGCUAACUACGUGCCAGCAGCCGCGGUAAUACGUAGGUGGCAAGCGUUGUCCGGAUUUAUUGGGCGUAAAGCGAGCGCAGGCGGUUUUUUAAGUCUGAUGUGAAAGCCUUCGGCUUAACCGGAGAAGUGCAUCGGAAACUGGGAGACUUGAGUGCAGAAGAGGACAGUGGAACUCCAUGUGUAGCGGUGGAAUGCGUAGAUAUAUGGAAGAACACCAGUGGCGAAGGCGGCUGUCUAGUCUGUAACUGACGCUGAGGCUCGAAAGCAUGGGUAGCGAACAGGAUUAGAUACCCUGGUAGUCCAUGCCGUAAACGAUGAGUGCUAAGUGUUGGAGGGUUUCCGCCCUUCAGUGCUGCAGCUAACGCAUUAAGCACUCCGCCUGGGGAGUACGACCGCAAGGUUGAAACUCAAAGGAAUUGACGGGGGCCCGCACAAGCGGUGGAGCAUGUGGUUUAAUUCGAAGCUACGCGAAGAACCUUACCAGGUCUUGACAUCUUCUGCCAAUCUUAGAGAUAAGACGUUCCCUUCGGGGACAGAAUGACAGGUGGUGCAUGGUUGUCGUCAGCUCGUGUCGUGAGAUGUUGGGUUAAGUCCCGCAACGAGCGCAACCCUUAUUAUCAGUUGCCAGCAUUCAGUUGGGCACUCUGGUGAGACUGCCGGUGACAAACCGGAGGAAGGUGGGGAUGACGUCAAAUCAUCAUGCCCCUUAUGACCUGGGCUACACACGUGCUACAAUGGACGGUACAACGAGUUGCGAAGUCGUGAGGCUAAGCUAAUCUCUUAAAGCCGUUCUCAGUUCGGAUUGUAGGCUGCAACUCGCCUACAUGAAGUUGGAAUCGCUAGUAAUCGCGGAUCAGCAUGCCGCGGUGAAUACGUUCCCGGGCCUUGUACACACCGCCCGUCACACCAUGAGGAGUUUGUAACACCCAAAGCCGGUGAGAUAACCUUCGGGAGUCAGCCGUCUAAGGUGGACAGAGUGGGA